Molecule: transfer RNA, 64 nt
Filed under: Dipodomys ordii (Ord's kangaroo rat)
Lineage: Eukaryota; Metazoa; Chordata; Mammalia; Rodentia; Heteromyidae
Rfam family: tRNA
About the family: Transfer RNA (tRNA) molecules are approximately 80 nucleotides in length. Their secondary structure includes four short double-helical elements and three loops (D, anti-codon, and T loops). Further hydrogen bonds mediate the characteristic L-shaped molecular structure. tRNAs have two regions of fundamental functional importance: the anti-codon, which is responsible for specific mRNA codon recognition, and the 3' end, to which the tRNAs corresponding amino acid is attached (by aminoacyl-tRNA synthetases). tRNAs cope with the degeneracy of the genetic code in two manners: having more than one tRNA (with a specific anti-codon) for a particular amino acid; and 'wobble' base-pairing, i.e. permitting non-standard base-pairing at the 3rd anti-codon position.
Source: Rfam by way of RNAcentral
AGUGGCUCAGUGGUAGAGUGCUUGCCUUGCAUGCAUGAGGCCCUGGGUUCGAUUCCUCACACUA